Molecule: long non-coding RNA, 1308 nt
Filed under: Nicotiana benthamiana
Lineage: Eukaryota; Viridiplantae; Streptophyta; Magnoliopsida; Solanales; Solanaceae
Description: long non-coding RNA (NBEN_LNC007589)
Source: RNAcentral
AAGUAAAUGUGUCGAGGUUGCUCUAGAAAAAUCAUCAACUAUUGUAAGAAAGUAUUUUGAGCCAGAGGAAGUGGGAGUGUGAUAAGGACCCCAAGUAUCUACAUGAAUCAAUUGGAAAGGCCUACAUGUACUUAUAGAGCUAUCAGGAAAGGGAAGUCUUGUUUGCCUAGCCAUAGGACAAAUAGAGCAAGGAAAUGGUUGUUUAUAAGCAAAUGGAAAGGAUAAAGCAGAAAUGUGUUUCAUGUUUGUAAAAGGAAUAUGAGCUAGUCUUAAAUGCCAAAUGUAACUUAUGUCAGUUGCAGCAGCAUUGUUACAAAUGGAACUAUUUACAUUUGAAGGCAAAGUAACAGUCUGAUUGCUAGAAGAACAGACAUGAUUACAAGAAUCAGAAAGGGAACACACAGAAGCAGAUGAACAACAGUUAAAAGGAGUAGGUGAAGGUGGAACCCAAGAUAACUUGUACAAACCAGCCUCCUCUUUACCAAGAUCUAGAGGCAUCUUCAGAGAAGGGGCCUGUAGCAUGUGAAGGAAACAGGAAGUUGCAGUAAACAAGACUACACAAUGCAACUGUUUUACUAGCUUGGGGAUAGAAAUUAAGUUGUGUUUGAAAGAGGGAACAAACAACACAUUAUGAAGAAUGAUGAAUGGAGUUAAUGCAAAAGAUCAUGUGGAAGUCACUUUCACUUUGUAUCCAUUGGGAAGAGUGACAAGAUAAGGUACAGUUAAGGGUGUGAUAUUAAAGAGUAAGCUUUUACUAGAUGUCAUAUGGUCAGAAGCCUCUGAGCCUAAUUAUCCAGGCGAUAGAAUAAAUUUGAGUAAGCAUACAAAAAGAACCAGUGGAUGUCACUUUCACUUUGUAUCCAUUAGGGAUAGUUACAAGAUAGGGUACAGUUAAGGGUGUGAUAUUAAAAAGUAAGCUUUUAUUAGAUGUCAUAUGGUUAGAUGCUCCUGAGUCUAUUAUCCAGGUGGCAGAAUCAAUUUGAGUAAGCAUACAAAGUUUGGAAUCACAAACAGGACUCUCAAUUAGCAUAGUACCAGCAAAAUUGGCAGUACACAUGGGAGGAAGAGCUUGAGCAGUGGAGUCCCCCAAUUGAGUCUGUUGUAGCAAGGUCAUCAGUUGAUCAUAUUGUUGUCUGCUCAACACUGGUAUUAUAGAUCUUUGUCCAUCCACAGUUUGGACAGGUUGAUGACUCUCAGUAGGAUUUCCAUGAGAGUUAGGGAAAUCUGCACCAGUGGUUAUAUAAGCAGCAGCAUGUCUCCUCCUUUUGUUAAUGCUGGUACUAUGUGGAUACCCAUGAAGCUUGUAAC